Molecule: long non-coding RNA, 4860 nt
Filed under: Homo sapiens (human)
Lineage: Eukaryota; Metazoa; Chordata; Mammalia; Primates; Hominidae
Description: HSALNT0143345
Source: RNAcentral
UGCUGGCAAAGGUCAGUUGUUUUACUGUCCUUCAGAUCAGGCAUCUUAGAAGUGGGAUACCUAAAAGGAAAAAAGAGAAAUGUUAAUAUAGAAAGAGAGAUUAAACUGAGAAAGACAGAAGUUGAACCCAAGGGUAUCCAUUUCAGGGGAUUUCAGGGGGUUAGUGGAUGAGCCCUUUUGAUCAUGUAGCAUUGCUCUUUGAGCGUUUUGAUGCUCUUGGUAAUGUUGCCCAGAGCCUGGAUUACCUCUUCUAUCAGAACAUGCGUGACCUGAGCAUUUCCCAUCCUUUUUUUGUGGUCCAGUCAGGGCUUGUCCAGAGAAAAAGAGAACCAUGCAUAGUCUGCUAGCAAUGAUGGGUCUUUAUAUGUUUAUAACAAGUCAUCAGACUUGAGAUUGUAGUAAUACUUCAGAGACUGGGGGCCAGCCACAAGGCAACCUAGGGUCUUAACUGUCAUCUGGAUAGUAAAGUUUUCUCAGUGACUAUGAGUAACAAAAAAGGAGAAAAAUUGGAACGUUAGUUGAGGGGUUUAUGGCUAGAUAUUGAGGGAAAUUGGAAGAUUUGAAAAUUUAGUAAAAGUGGACAAUUUGUGCAAGAUAACAGAUUCAAGUACAAUUUAUUAGUAGUUACAAAAACUGAUUGUCCCAUAGUGUGAGAGAAAGUCAAUUAAAUCUCUACUAGAGAAGAGAGAGUUUGCAUAACUAUCAGUUACUCUCAGUUUACCAAGAGGCACUAAAUAGCUCAAACACAAAUUAACAGGAUCAGAAUCUGAUAAUCCAGAAAGAUGUGCUAUGAUUUCCCAUGGAAACACAAAUUUUCUUUCUACAGUUACUCCUCCUCUUUUGAUCAAAGACAAUCUCAAAGAAAGAUUAUUCUUGAUCACAAAUUAAGGUUGGUCUCAUGAGAUUCGGCCUGGUUAUUUGCAUAGGUGCUGCAAGAGCAGCAAUUUACAUAUAGAUCAUAUUAUAUUUGCUUUGCUGGAAGUUUUCAUAAAGAAUGUCAAAUUGGACUUUUCAAAGCCUCUUGAGGAUAAGAAGCCAAGCCAACAACUCACAUCAGAUUUCACAUGCAGUACCUAUCGAUUUGGCAGGCAUUCCUUUCUUCUUGAGAUCCCACAAAUAUCCUAAGAUUCCAGAGCCUGCUGGGAAGUGACAUUCCUUGCUCACCUGCAAAGCUGCAAACCCUGCAAAGCCAGGUUUCAAGCCAGUUUUCGCAAGAGGAGCUUUGUAAGCAUUGGCCCUAUAAGGUCAACCUUAGUUCCUUAAAAGUGUCUGGUCAUAUCUGAUUAAAUAAGCGUCACUCUCAAAUAUGACAUCCAGGCAAAGCCUUGGUUGUAUUACCAAUGUUUUUGUGCCCUGUUAACAAAGAGGACAGACUCUUACUGAAUCUAUGCAAAUAACCAUAUUGCCAUGAAAAUAAGAAGACUCAAGGAGAAUUUCCAAAUUUUGAAUGGGUGAGUCAGGGAAGAAAAGAAAGAAGUUUCAUUUCUGUUUACAAGAAAUUAGCAUGGUCUAUGAAAUUGUUAUGAGUGAUGAAUAGCUUAAAAAAAAGAGGAGGGGUUUUCUUAUGUCCAGAAAAUAGGAUAUUAGGCCGAGCGUGGUGGCUCACAUCUGUUAUUCCAGCACUUUGGGAGGCCGAGGCGGGUGGAUCAUGAGGUCAAGAGAUCGAGACCAUCCUGGCCAACAUGGUGAAAACCCGUCACUACUAAAAAUACAAAAACAGCCAAGUGUGGUGGCACUACCCUGUAAUCCCAGCUACUUGGGAGGCUGAGACAGGAGAAUUGUUUGAACCUGGGAGGCAGAGGUUGCAGUGAGCUGAGAUCACGCCAUUGCACUCCAGCCUGGGCAUAAGAGCAAAACUCUGUCUCAAAAAAAAAAAGAAAAUAGUACAUUAAAGGAAUAGCCCUAUAGCCCUAUUCCAAAAAAGUCCCAUAAUUAUCUAUCAUCAGUUCAUUCACUCCUGUGGAAUUAGUUCUUGUCCCACUUGAUCCCGGAUUAGUAGGCUUAUGAACCCAUCUCUUUUUCAACUAGAGUUCUGGAAUUCCUAACUCAGUUCAUUGUUUUGGUCCCAAAGUUACUUAAACAACGUAAUUAGAAACUUUAACACAACAGCACCUAGCAUAAUCCUUUUCCACAUACUUCUGAGUCAGUCCUUUUUUGUGGAAACAAAGUCCUCCAUAGAUAACAAAAGACUUAAAAUUGCUGUGGUUAACAUAUUUUUGAUAAUUUUUGAAAGUAAAAGAUCUGAUGAAAGUUUGCUAUAAAAAUAAUACAUUGACAGAAAAAUUUAAUUGUCGUUAUGGCACUUAAAGUUGCUACAAAAAGUUUCAGAGAAAAUAUGUGUAAACAUAAUAAUUAAUUUUAUUUUCAAAAAAGGGUGGAUAUUACAUCAAAUUUAUGAAAGUGGAUGGGCAUAGUUUUUAUAGAGAAAACAUUUUCAGAUAUAACAUGAUUAUCUGGGCGCAGUGGCUCAUGCCUGUAAUCCCAGCAGUUUGGGAGGCUGAGGCAGGCGGAUCACAAGCAUAAGGUCAGGAGUUGGAGACCAGCCUGGCCAACAUGGUAAAACCCCGUCUCUACUAAAAAUACAAAAAUUAGCCAGGUGUGAUGGCAGUCACCUGUAGUCCCAGCUACUCGGGAGGCUGAGGCAGGAGAAUCUCUUGAACCUGGGAGGCGGAGGUUGUAGUGAGCCGAGAUCGUGCCACUGCACUCCAGCCUGGGCAACAGAGUGAGACUCCAUCUCAAAAAAAAAAAAAAAAAAAAAAAAAAAAAGAAAUAACAUGAUAAUCAUGAGACAUAAUGUGUCAUGAAUAUAUCAAACAUAUAGUUAGAAUAUACCAAGAAUAUAUUUAGAUUAUCAAGCAAAGAGAUUCAGUAUAUUUGUAUAGGUUUAGGAAAAAAAUACUCAAGUAGAACAAAAAUGUAUUCUUACCAUGUGGACAACUCAGAAGACAUAGCUAUAUUUAUUAAAUCAAUUAUAUUAAACUACUCUCAAUGGCCAAAGGUUUAUCUAAAUUAGGUGAACUUGAAUUUUUAAACACUUUGUUAAGCUUUUAUAAAAAUACUUUUUUCACAUUGAUGAUAUUAGAAAUUUGAUUUUCCUAAUUUCAAGGAAGUUCAAGAAUACUUAACUUAUGUAGGCUCUCAUUCAUCUCUAAGACAAUCCAGAAGGAGCUUAUUUAAGGCGUUUUAUAAUUUAAUGUGGUAAUACCAUCUGGAGGUAGGAAAAUAUUACACAAACAAAAUGUAUGUGCACAUGCACAAACACACAUACAUAAACAUAUAGGCAGACAUAGCCAACUUACAGCUUUAAUUUUUAAAUUUUAGCCAUGACUUAGGCAUAAUCACAGAAAUGCAAAACUCACUGAUUCAUAUAAAAAAACAGAGUAUUGACUGGGCACGGUGGCUCAUGCCUGUAAUCUCAGCACUUUGGGAGGCCAAGGCGGUCAGAUCAUUAAGUCAGAAGAUCGAGACCAUCCUGGCCAACAUGGUGAAACACAGUGUCUACUAAAAAUACAAAAAUUAGCUGAGCAUGGUGGCAUGUGCUUGUAAUCCCAGCUACUUUGGAGGCUGCGGCAGGAGAAUCGCUUGAACCUGGGAGGUAGAGAUUGCAGUGAGUCGAGAUUGCACCACUGUACACCAGCCUGGCAACAGAGUGAGAUUCCAUCUCAAAAAACAAACAAAUAAACAAACAAACAAAGUAUCAUCAUUGCCUCACGUUUAUAUUUUUACAAGGAUAAUAUUUUUGGUAGAUGGGGCAAGUUGAAGUAACCUGUUCAGUAUGAGAACUGAAGCAUCUUCACCAAUAUUUGUGUAGGAGACCCAUAAGCUACCCUUGGCUCUGGUGUAUAAUUCUAGGGAAGCUGUGGACUCAAUUUCAAGGGAGGCAUGGAGGAGAGACCAAGCGGUCAUCUGGUGUCUCCAGAGCCCACCUGAGGGGAUAAAACAUUCAGCCUGUUUCCGGUGAGCCUUUUUAGCCUCAGGCUGUUGCUCUUAGUGCCCCUGGGCUUCUCUAGAGCCUCCCAUGAAGGGACAGGACUUAAAGCUCAAGGGAUUAUAAGGAAUUGAGGGGCCAGAGUGGGAGAGGAAAGGUCUGGCAGGAGUGGAUGGAAAGGUGGAGGAGAUAGAGGGUUGAAAGAGGAAGAUCCAAGGAUUAAAGGGAGCUGAAGGGAACAUGGAAGAUGGUAGAAAAGAGAGAUUGGGGGAUAGGUGAUGAGAAGACACAGGUCACAGAUUGGGGAAGGAUGACUGUCUUUGAAAGAAGCAAUGGUCACUGAAAAGUUUUUGAGAGAGAGCAUUUUUUUUUUCUGCCUCUUUGUACCAAAUGCCCACCACCACUAACAAAGCAUCUAUUGCUUGGAUGAGAUCUUGGUGGCACAGGAUUCAAUUGCCCUUCGCAGAAUGAGGCAAUUUGGAAAAAUUCUACGUUCUCCAAAGAGGCCAUUGAAAUUUAAGUUGUAAAAUAUUGCCAUUUUUUUUUUUGGAAGAAAGUGGGUGGAAUUAUUACCAUAGUAACACAGAGCAUACCCCAGAGUUGAGGGUUCUGGAGAACAACAGCCAAAUUGACGGUUUCUCAUGAUAAUGGAAGGGACACCUGCUGGUGCUAGAGGCUUUGGGAUUUCAACUCAGGUAUGAUUCUCAGGAGAGAAUGAGGGGCUUUCACCACACUCAAAAAAGGCAGAAGGGAAAGAUGGAAAAACAGAAGAAAAUGACAAAAAUGAGAGAAAUAUAAGUCAACUUCUCACUGUGCUACAACAGACAGACGUCUGGAGCACUGGAUUAGAAAUCAUGACUUACCACUGUGUAUUCUGAUUUCCCCAGCCAAGGAGAGGCACAAGGAGUCCAAUAAGGCAGCACUGGGUGAAG